GUUGACCUCGGAUCAGGUAGGACUACCCGCUGAACUUAAGCAUAUCAAUAAG
Molecule: ribosomal RNA, 52 nt
Filed under: Cordyceps takaomontana
Lineage: Eukaryota; Fungi; Ascomycota; Sordariomycetes; Hypocreales; Cordycipitaceae
Also listed under: 1 other name
Description: partial 28S ribosomal RNA
Source: RNAcentral